This is a long non-coding RNA of Chroicocephalus ridibundus (black-headed gull), 2425 nucleotides long. RefSeq lists it as uncharacterized. NCBI's taxonomy places the organism in Eukaryota, Metazoa, Chordata, Aves, Charadriiformes, Laridae. The record is from RefSeq and is a predicted model, not a curated record. The transcript is spliced from 3 exons.
UCUGGGAUUCAUUAGACGUGGCCUCGACACAGGCCAGCCAGCAUCAGAGCUGACUGACGUGGGGAGGAACGGUUUUCCCAUCGCUUCUAUGCGAAAAGAAAAAAAGAAAAAAAAUUAAUUACACAGGUGCUGUGUUCAUUUUCAGUUGUAUUCCAGUAUGCCAAAGGAAUAGAGUAGAAUCAGCUUCACCUUGGCCUAAGGUUUACAGUAACAGCUUUCAUUCCGCAAAAAGCCAGGGAACGGGAAUAAGAAUAAAUCAGUGACUCUUCAGUUUAAUUCGAAAUGCUGUUAAUUGGAAUAGUCUUCUGCUCUAUAAGCAUGCUUUCCAAGUUGCGACCACUGAAGUAAAUUGAUUAUUUUUUUUUUUAAGGCCAAAACUCAAUUAAUGUUUUCCCACUUACGCUGUAGACUCCAACUAACUUCUAAACUUCAGUGAUGCCCCUGAGUUGGUCAAACUACUCGGGACAAAAAUGUAGGAAAGCCAGAAUUAAAACAAAAGUACAGUCUAGAGAUCUGCUUCCUGCUGACUGCCUGCACCUGGGAGUUUUAGAAAUUUUUUUACUAGUUAAUAAUUGGAAAAUAGUUGGAAUAGUUGGAAAUAGUUGGAAAAGGUAAAAGGAAUACUCGGCUAACUGGUUGUGAAGUCAUUGGAGUUAGAGAAGGGAGUUGAAUGGCAGCGACCUGGGAGACGUGGAAACCCGCAGUACUUGGCGAAGGACGAGAUCCCGCCGUUGUCACCGUUACUGGUCACAGGUGACUAAAAUCCAACGGAGUUCAGCUUGCCAAGAUGGUGACUUUAUUACAGUUCUCCACCUUCAUUUCAAAGUCUUUUUGACAGAUCUGGGAAUUUUUUCUCUUAAGUUGUUCUUUGGGGGUUGGGGUUUUUUUUAGUUUAACUUUCAGUUUGGGAAAAGGAUGGAAAACAUGCUCAAAAGCCCCCAAAAAAUAAUCAAAAGAAGAGCAAAAACUGUGCAGUUUGGGAAUUGUAUCGUACCAAGUAAGGAUAUCUGUAUGCAGCUUUGGGCCCGAGAAAAGGGAGGAACUUCCACAAAAUGAAGCGUCUGCCCGUUGUACUGAAGCCCUUAUGGAAUCUAUUUCAUCCUGAUUGUAUUUGGGAAAAGACCUGAUUGUGCACAGCGUUAUGAUCCAACAGCUGCUGUUGCCUGCAAUUCCACAGGCAAUUCCCACAAAACAUGCCUUUUAUAACAGAAUCGAUUCAUUGAACUAUUAAUCAAUAAAACUUGGUGUUAGAUGAUAAAGAAUGGGAAUAAUCUACUUUUUAAGAAUUUCUCUCCCAACGGCAGCUCGGUAAGAAAAGGGGCAGCUCCUCACCCUGGCCUUGCUUCUCACCCGCGUGCGGUACCGAACGUGGAGUUUAUGACAUCUGCAGAAACAUGAGCGAGCUCAGAGCUGUCUGGCAACGCGCUGGGGAUCGAUGGCUGCCGAGGCUCCCAGCUUCCAGAUUCAGGAAAUGAGGCGAGUUAAUUUCUGUUCAAAGUGCUCAGAAAUACCACACCUCGGAAAAGGAUAUUUUCUGGACGCGAGAUGCACGACUACCUACGCUUAUACCCGGCUCAAAAUACAGCCUUCGGGACGUGUGGGGAACCCAGAGCUGGCACAAAAUAAUGAGCUCGCUCAGUGCUGUCGUGUGGGAGAAGGGAAGAGGAGCUGGAGGUGACGCUGGCUGAGUGGCCACGGCAGGAGGACGGGGGCUGAAUGUGACGCCAGGGACGCCAUCGCCGCUUCUUCACAGAAGUGGCAGGAAAAGCAAAGAAGGCAAAGUGCGCCCUGCCAAAAGCAGCCGUUCGGAUCCCGAAAUACCGAAGGAUCAUUUUUGGUAGGGCACACGUCGCUAAACCUCUGGCUUAAAAAAAAAAGAGGGAUAAAUCAUAGAAUCCUAGAAUCACCUGGGUUGGAAGGGACCUUUCAGAUCAUCGAGUCCAACCAUCAACCGAGCACUGCCCAAAGCCCCACUACCCCGUGUCCCUCAGCACCACGUCUGCCCGGCUUUGAAAUCCCUCCAGGGAUGGCGACUCCACCACUGCCCUGGGCAGCCUCUUCCAAUGCUUGACAGCCCCUUCCGGGAAGAGAUUUUCCCUAAAUGAGAAUUGAGAAUUACAGGAAGGACGGUACCAAAAACUAGAGAUCCUGAACACAGAACUGUCUCAGUCUCGUUUGCAAAAGCACGUGUUAAGUAUUACCAAGAGCCACUUAUUUGAUUAAAGUACACUUAAAACAAUCCCAGAAAUUAGGAGGAAUUUAAAAACCCAUACUUCAGUUCCUUUUUAUCAACUCUGAGGUUAAAUAUACAUGCAUUGUAAAUAUUUGGUGUAUAGCUUUGUCUUCAUGGUAGCGUAGGCCAGACUCUGCCCUUCUGGAUCGUUCCAAGCAGCAACCCCUUCACUGAUCCCAAACCUUUCUGCAA